AUGUUUUCCCCUCCCUGGAUCAGCUGUGCACCUGGUGGACAAGACGAUCUCGUUUCUUUGAGCCUGUGUAAACACUGACCUUCAGUUCACGCCCUGCAUGCUCAGGUUCAUCCUAGAGCCCCUCCCACCUUCCUCCUUCCUGCCUGUCCUCCACAUUUCCCCUGGAAGGGGUGGUGCUCAGGCCCAGGUCCUUCAAGGCUGUGAGGCACGUUUUACUGAUGAGCUACAAUCCCCAACCCCAAAGACUAAUUUUCUAUAGUCUGUGUCACACCCUGUAUGGGACAGGUUAGUAUUAGGUGUCCUGCGUGCCAUCCUUCUAGGAUUUUUCGUGCUUUCCUGUAUUUGUUUCUCUGUGGAGCACAGCACUUCCUUCCAGCGCGUCAGCACCAGUUGUAGGAAAGAAUUGCUUCCCUUCCCUUCACAUCUUCCAAUCGGAGUUUUUAAAACUGGGAUAUUUCUUGACAAUUUGGUUAUUAUGAACACACACAGGGAUACCAAUCUCCAUUACACACACACACACACACACACACACACACACACACACACACUGCAAAUUAGGAACUUCAAGAUUCAAUGGAGUGGGUGUUAGGGAGUUUCCAUCUUGAUACGUUGGCAUUCUGAGCUAGGUGUGUCCAGGUCAUAUUAUGUAUUAUUUAGUAGCAUUGUUGAUUUCUAGUCACAACUCCCAAAUCAUCUUCCCAAGCUAUGACAACCAAAAGUUCCUCUAGACAUUGUCAUGUAUUCCCUGGGGGGGGGGGGAGGGCACUACCAACCCUUCUCUAUUUCUAAACCUCGAGCUAUAAUCAUAUUUAAGCAUUAUUGAUGGAUCUGCUCCUCCCAAGUCCAAUAGUGUACUCUAUUCUGCAGGAUUCAUAGCCUCCCCCCACCCCCAGCCUGGAACUCUCUGUCCUGCAGCCCCAGCCUCCUGAGUUCAGGUUUUAUAGGCAUCCGUCACCAUACUUACAUCAGGAUUUACUGUUUACGAGCAGUAUUUUAACAGGACUUUCAUUUGCUGUGCUGAGGCUUGAAGCCACCCUUGCUACAGGGACACGCACUUGGAGGGAAGCUCUUAGUAACCUGAGGCAGCCACUGAUCACAUAGUAAGCUUGAGACUAGCCUUUCUACGUGAGACUUGAGUUAGGUUGCACUUUGUAUUUGGGUUUUGAAUCUGGUUAGCAAUCACUGACGUGUGCCUUCUCUAGAGCUCUGUCAUUGCCUUAUGUCCUGUCACCCUUUGUGCUUCAGAGUGUAUUUCCACUCAAGUGACCAUGAGUGGGAACAAGGUGGUCAAACCGGGAAAGCAGUUUCUUAAGCAGAACCUGUAUCGGAUCCAAAUCUUCAGUGUAGAAAAUGUUCUUAGCAUCUGGAAAAUAUAUGUUGUUUUCUGGCAUUUCCUCUCUUUCUAACUACCCUACCCUGACCCAAGACUUUCUAUUUACAUGGACUUUUCUUAGUUAGGUGGGACUGGCGCCUUCAUGCCAGAGUCGCUGAAUGGCCUCUGAACUGGAGUGAGCACUAUCCAGAAAGGGUUGACACGGGAGAGCCAUCCUUUCCUGGAGGCUUGAGGUUAUGUUACAGUAAUUGUGGAGUUUUGUUGCUUUAAAAUCCUCCUUCUCUUCUCAAGGGCAAGAUUGCCAAAGUGUAGCAUCGCAUUUGGGGUGGGGGUUGUUAAAACUUCUGAGUUUCAAUAACUUCUUGCUCGUUGCAUGGGAACCAACCCCCUCCCCAUGGAUGUGCACGUGCACACCUGUUGCUGGUGAAGAGCAUUCAAUGGUGCUGUAAAUGACGUGUUUUGAAAACUAGAAAUGCCAAUCAGAUGUUCGUGGAAAUUAAACAGACAGCUCAAAGC
RNAcentral lists this long non-coding RNA (1849 nucleotides) under Mus musculus (house mouse). RNAcentral describes it as "long non-coding RNA chr1:185466910-185468759". The record is from RNAcentral. Lineage: Eukaryota; Metazoa; Chordata; Mammalia; Rodentia; Muridae.